Molecule: ribosomal RNA, 470 nt
Filed under: uncultured bacterium
Lineage: Bacteria
Description: partial 16S ribosomal RNA
Rfam family: Bacterial small subunit ribosomal RNA
Source: RNAcentral
GACGAACGCUGGCGGCGUGCUUAACACAUGCAAGUCGAACGGUGAACGAGGGAGCUUGCUCCCUCCGGAUCAGUGGCGAACGGGUGAGUAACACGUGAGCAAUCUGCCCCGAACUCUGGGAUAAGCGUUGGAAACGACGUCUAAUACCGGAUACGACGCGGGAGGGCAUCCUCUCCGCGUGGAAAGAACUUCGGUUCGGGAUGAGCUCGCGGCCUAUCAGCUUGUUGGUGAGGUAACGGCUCACCAAGGCGACGACGGGUAGCCGGCCUGAGAGGGUGACCGGCCACACUGGGACUGAGACACGGCCCAGACUCCUACGGGAGGCAGCAGUGGGGAAUAUUGCACAAUGGGCGCAAGCCUGAUGCAGCAACGCCGCGUGAGGGACGACAGCCUUCGGGUUGUAAACCUCUUUUAGCAGGGAAGAAGCGAAGGUGACGGUACCUGCAGAAAAAGCACCGGCUAACUACGUG